Molecule: long non-coding RNA, 6510 nt
Organism: Epinephelus moara (kelp grouper)
Lineage: Eukaryota; Metazoa; Chordata; Actinopteri; Perciformes; Serranidae
Exons: 7
Source: RefSeq, a predicted model, not a curated record
ACACCACAUGGUUGGCCGUCUUCUUAGGAUUUAUCUUUUAAAUCAUCACCUGACAUCGUCUUCUAUCGCUGUGUUAUCGUACAUGUUUAUAUCCUAUGUCGCAACUCAACAUCUUACGAUGCCCACAUUUUUAAAAUGGUCGAUUUAAAACGAUCUCGUCGCUGUUUUUUAAUCACCCACGUGCGUGUUAGGUGACGGUGGCUAGCAGCGUAGCUUUUUUUGUACGUGACUUCGGGCGAUAUUUAACCGUACAGUUCAUGUAAAGUCAAAUAAUGAAAUGUAAUAUAUAUGUGCUGAAAUGUAUAGUGUUGUUAGUAUGGCUAGGCCGCAGCCGGUUGUGCCAGUGACUUAAUUUUUUCGGCAUGUUAGCAUAGCAUGCUAGCAAGAGCUUCCGGGAAGAUGCAGUUCCGUGCUGUCACGUGACCUUGUUUUUAUGAAUGAGGACCAAUACGUCACACACACCAACAAACAGAGGCGGAGCUGAAUAUAAAAGAGAAGUUAGAGUUUUCUGACCUACGACAGCGGCUUGUUUUGAAAUAGGCUAGCCCUCCGUGGUGAACUUAGCUGCCCCGAAGACUAAUUCCAGAGUGUCGGACCGCACCCUGUCAGCAUCCCGACUGGUGAGGGGUCACAUUACUAGGAAAGUACCAUGGACAAACAUCAGUGACGGGCAAAAGGGCUGGAGAAGCGCCUGACACACGGCAAAGCACCAAGGUGAUUAAUGCUUGACAAGCUCACCGGAGCUUUUGUCAGCAUGUGACUGAUGAGAUGCAGCCAGAGAAGAGGGAAAAUAUCUACCUCAUUUGCACUCAGGGUUCAUGGCUCCUGGGACCAGCUGACGGACAUCUAGCCAAGUGCAUUGUGAACAGGAGAGAUGACCUGUGGCAACCAGCUGCUCAAAAACCUGCUUCUUUUGUCCCUGAUCUCUUCGGUCUGUGGAACAUUUGAAGUGAAUGCGACACAGACCUCCUAUCAGGCAGAGGAGAACGAGGACAUCACACUGGAAUUUAUGUUCACAACCAAAGCUGACAGUUCCCCUGACCGGUUCGAAAUCUAUUGUGAACUGUUAGCUGACGACGAGCACGUAGUCGUGUUUCAUCUGUAUGAAGGUGAAGAGUUCCUCUGGUCUCAAAAUAAACAGUUUGCAGGACGAGUCCAGUACGACAAACACCUCCUCAGAGAAGGACGACUCGUACUGAACGUGUCCAGACUCAGAACUCGUGACUCUGGCCGGUACCUGUGUACAGUACACACAAGUUAUGGGAGCAGCACUGGGAGAUGCUCGCUCAAUGUCAUUGCAGCGAGGCAUUUGCUUGAACCUGAGACACUGAGCACAAGUCGACCACAACCACAGAGUCGAGGAAGGUACGGCCUCUACGGGGCACUGGGACUGGCAGGAGUAGUUCUACUGUUUGUUUGUUUCCGUUUAUACAGACAAUCGUGGUUGAUUAAAAAGAUUCAAUCAGCCACUCCAAACCAACAAGAUUUGCUGGAAGACUAUGAAGACCGUUCAAACAUUUGCGCUAUGCCUAAAGAACAAGAAUUAGUCAUUCUUGCUCUGCAGGAAAACGAUUCAAUCAUUUGCACGGUGCCUAAAGGUCAAGAUUCCCACUCAGAGAAAAGUAACAGUUCAGGGUAUGGAGGGGGAGAAACAGAUUCACAAACUUAAAACUUGUGCACACCAAGAAAACCAGUUAUUAUGGCAGGGCUUGGUAUCGUCACUGAUUUCCUGAAUUGAUUUGAUUUAGAUUUUUCGAUUGGGUGGGCAAUGCCGAAAAAUUUCACACCUUUAUUUUGUUCGGUUCAUUUUCACACUGCACUUUUUAAAGCAAACCAAACUGCCUGCACACUGUCAUGCAGUAUUGCCCGAAACGACCACUGAUCAGGAAGAAAAAAAAAGCAUGAGGAAGGAAAAAAAAAACACGGCUCAUCGAUUGGCCAGGACCGAAAUCGGAAAUCCAUCCCCUUCAGCCGGCAGAUAGCAACUGCGUUAUAGUCCUCUGACCAUAUAUCAAUAAGCGCCUGCAUCUCCUCACUACUCCACAUCUGCCCACGAGACAUGUUCCAACUUUUUCUUUUGUUACCUCUGCUUCUCCCGGUUCGCGCUGUUGGUUUUGGGUUUUUUUCUGCCCAAAAUACACUGCACUCUGCGUCACUUCCUCUCUUUGGUCCACUUCCUCUCUUUGGUCCACUUCCUCUCUUUGGUUCGCUGGAUAGUCCGUUUGCAUUUCCCACUGUAAGCGAAUCGCACCAGGAUUCACUUGCAAGUAAACCGAGACCCCCAGUUUUCAAGCACACCGGGGUUCGCUCAUUUGGUCCACACCACUCCAAACGAACAGAACUAUCCGCGGAAGUGGACCAGGGUACGUUUAAAGCGAACCAAUAGCGCCAGUGUGAAUGUGUCCUUUAAGACAAGUUUUAAGACCCGACACAAACUGACCUAAACCGCUAGACAUAAACAGUUGCUGGAAAGCGCUCUGUGCUUGUUUAAAACAUGAUGUCAGUGGCGGUGGAUGAGAGACUGCGGACAGUAUUGACUUUUUCCUCGUGGAGGUUUUAUUGCACUCACAGUAACAAGCAUAGUUGUCAUCAGCUCAAGUUAUCUUCAGGUCUGUCUCCACCGCGGCAUCUUUACUCCGUGUUUGUCCAAAACAUAACAGACACCUAACGGUUACAGAUAAGACCCGGUAACGUCGGAGCUCCUCAAUACUAUGGUUGUUAAUAAUUUAGCGCCACGGCCUGUUUACUACCGGCGAGAUUACCAAGGUCACAGUUUGACACAUCCGUGGAAAAAGGCCUAUGUAUAAAGAUCAAUCUCAGAUUUUAUGAAUUGAUAUCAUGUCACUCAAAUGAAGAUCAGUUUGUUUUUAUCAGUUUUUAACCCAGCCCUGUAUUAUAGUGAUGUUGUGUUACAGCUAACAUGAAACAAGCGUAUCCCUCUGCACUGAACAAGUUAACACAUCAGAGUCAACUUGUCUGCACAGAUAUCCGCCCUCUUGUUACACUGCAUGCCUACCUACAACACAUCACUGACAUUGCUGUGCCCAAGUUGUACAUGGAAGUGGAAAUGACGGUGCUAGACUCACUUUGGCAUGCAACGCUAGGUACCGUGUCUGAAGGGUUACUUUUGGUUUCAAAGGUACCAUACCGAAAAUGUUAGGGGGAACCGGGGCUAUAGAGGGCCACUUAAUUGUACGUAACUGUAACAGUGCAUCAUGUAAUGGCUGAGUGGAAGCUGGACUUUCAUGUGCUACGAUCAAGAGCGAUGCAUGAUAGCCACACAGGAGAGAGCAUCAUAGCGUUACUAAAGGAGGCUGGUACUGAGUAUAGAUUGGCGGCAAAAGAUCCCACAUUGUAACAGACAGUGCAUCCAAUAUGAACUUUGUGGCUGGACUGAGAGACUUGACCCACGUAUAGUGUUUUGAACACAGCCUGAAUCUGACCUCAUAGAGAGCACUGGAAUUGUUAACAGUGGUGAGACUACUCGGCAGUCACAGCCUUUUUUGGACGCAACACCAUAGCCAGCCACCAGCUAAAGCCCAAACAGGACCUGCUCCAGCUUCCAGGACCCAGGUCAGUCACAAGAUGGGCCAGCUCAGAUGACAUGAUUUUUAGAGCAAUGACGAGUCACCUAUGCACCAUCACGUCAGCAGAGGCCCAGAAAGACUGAAAAGGAUAUCUUAACACUGAGCCUGGCUGGCAUCACACGUGCCAAGGAAGUGCUCCAGGCACUUGAGCCAAUGAAGGAUGCCACUUUGGUGAUGUCAUUGGAGAGCACGCGCAUUCUGUCUAAAAUUGCACCACUUCAUGCCAAGCUGGUCACAAGCACAGAAGGAAGCCUGGAUGACACAGACAGUGAAGGACAUCAGAGCUGCUUCAGCACAAGAUCUGGGGAAGAGAGAUGCCAGUGAGAGGAAGACACUGUGCCUGGUAUCAGCUCUCGAUGCUAAGUUUAAGGAUCUACUCUUUCUCUCUGAAGCAGAGACCAGUAAGACCUCCUCCAGCCUGAUUGAUGCUGUGGUGGCGGCCAUGAAGAAGCUACAGAAUCAACAAGAGGAGGUAGACAGUCCGGUGGAGGAGAAGACUCGUCUGAGGUUUAUCACCCACCUAACUAUGAAGAUAGCCCUACCAUCGCCACCCAGCCACCCAUGAAGAGACAAAGGAGCACCUGUGCAUUGACUUGAAGUGACAUUUGCCUCUGCCAAAGUCAAUGCUGCACCAAAAUCUGCACAUCAGUGCCUACAGCUACUCAGAGUAGCAAAGUGCUUCCUGUGCAAUCCUACUACAAGUGUCUGGACAGAUUUCUCCACCGCAGGAGACAUCGUAACUACACAAGGAAGAGUCCUGAAAGCUCGGCAUGUUGACCCACUUGUCUUCCUCCACAAAAACCUUGACAGUAAAUCAUAAGCACUGGCAUUCAUACAAACUGGAGUAAUGUGAGAACCAAGUUGAAAUAAUGAGAGAUUGUUCAGCAUCGCAAUAUAUUAACUUAUUGUACCUUUGUUUUUGUUUUCUUUCUGCAAGCACUUUUAUCUUUCAUUUCAUUCAAAUAGGCAGAUGCAAUUCCAUUGUUUAGACUGAACAAAACACAGUGUUACUACAUAAGAUAGAGAAAGCCGUUCAGCACUCAGAGUGGAAAACACAUGACCACAAUGAGCUAGAUUCCAAUACAACAACCCACCCACAGAUAAACAUGGCAUUAAAAAACAAUACAUGUACAUACAUUCUUUUAAAAACCGAUUUCAGUGUGCUAAAAACAACAAUGGCCUUAUUUAGAGAGGAUAUCUCGCAGCCACCUUACAUCUCUUAAAGGCUUGUGGAUUCUGCACGUCCUUUAUUACAGGAGGCAGCUGGUUCUGCUCCGUAGCACCAAUGUGAAGAGAAGAAACCAUACACAUCGUGGUUUUGAAUCUAUGGAUGUUAGAGGGACCAUGCAAAAUAAUUUUGUGACAUUAAAUCCUGCACUAUGCAAUGGGAUAGGACAAAAUAUUGCUUUGGGAAUACAAUUUACUCCUUUUUUUUUGUGAAUAUGGGGCUCAAUAUUUGUUUUUAUUUUUAUUUAUUUAACCUUUGUUUCACGUUGAGAUUGAAAAUCUCACCUGGCCAAAACUGUCCUGUGCACCUUUUUACAGCAGUGCCUUCAGUGUUGCCAACUUGUUGACUUUCUAGCUAGAUUUUUUUUCACUUUCAGACCCUCUCCUGCCUUAAUUUCUAAAAAAUAACCCACUGCCUCCGCAGGCAAAUGGACCUGCACUUGUAUAGUGCCUUUCUAGUCAUUCAACCAUUCAAAUGACGUAAAGACUACAUGUCCAUCAGGAACCAUCAGUAUCUUGCCCAAGCAUACUUCGAUGUGCCAUUGAGGUACAGCCUAUUGAGCUAUCACGUUACGAGGUGGAGCUCUCUGGAUGGCUGCUAACAUUUGAUAUAUGAGGCAUAACCCAAAUGUGUCUAUAGGUGUAACUGGAUAGGCAGCUUCUCCAUGCAGAUUCUGACAGUGCCAAAGAAGUAACCAAUGUUCUAGACGCUUUCAAACUAACAGCAAAAACACUCUAAAUGGGUCCCUUUGUAUUUUGACAAUGAAUGUUUGUUGUUGCAGUAGCUGAUGGGAGAUUAUCAGAGACCCAAGCCAUUGCCCUAGCAACAGAAUAGCAAGUAGUGUUGAUCAUUGCUGAUAUCAUCCACACUCCCAUAUCGUCGCUGUCCAAUGAAAAACACGUAUCUCCGCUUUUGAUGAUUUCAACUUUCUAUGCGCUUUGAUGGACACUUCUGACACCCAAUAGAGAUACGUGUUGAAAAGAUGAUGUAAUAAAACGUCUUUCAAUUGGUCAUUUGGAUACCCACACUAACGGUUGCUAGGGAAUAUUAUGGACACUCCAUGCACUGUAGAAAGUCAAAAUCGUCAAAAGUGGAGAUACAUAUUUUUCAUCGGACAGCGACGAUAUGCUGUCAUAGGACACUAAAGUAAAACACAUGGUAAAAAUGAUUGAACCCUGCCAAUAUGCACCUUGAUGUGUGCAUUUUAGUCAGUCCGUUGUGCCUGCUCUGUAUCAAGGAGCACCAGCUGCAGUCCAGGAGUGAACCGCUCAUGCUUUAAAGAUAGAUAGUUACUUUAUAUUGCUGAAAUGUCUUUAUUUAAUUCAAAGCAUGCCUGUUUGAAACAGGCGAUUGCUUGGUCUGUUGUAUUGCUGCUGUGCUUUCUCGAGAACCGCUCAUACAAACCGCUUCACACUCCACGCUGCCCUUCUUUGGGUCCGUAGCAAUACACCUGGGCCCCACAUAGCUAUAGAUUCAUUGUGAUGGGCUGAUGUGAAGAACAAAUCGUAUGUCGAAACGGGUCCCCAGCAGUACACCUGGGGAGUGUGAAGUAGAUCGGAUGAAUGGUUUUCGGGACAUGCAAAGAUUAGAUUACAGUAUAUAAAUAGUUGAGUGUUUCUGCAGAUAGAGUUAGUAGAAUUAUAUUUAAAGUUUAUGAAAACGCGCUGUAUUUUUUAAAGUUCAAUAAAUCUGGAU